UACAGAGGGUGCAAGCGUUAAUCGGAAUUACUGGGCGUAAAGCGCGCGUAGGUGGAUCGGAAAGUUGGAUGUGAAAGCCCUGGGCUCAACCUGGGAACUGCAUUCAAAACUACCAAUCUAGAGUAUGGGAGAGGGAAGUGGAAUUUCUGGUGUAGUGGUGAAAUACGUAGAUAUCAGAAGGAACACCAAUGGCGAAGGCAACUUCCUGGCCUAAUACUGACACUGAGGUGCGAAAGCGUGGGGAGCAAACAGG
RNAcentral lists this ribosomal RNA (253 nucleotides) under uncultured bacterium. Its description in RNAcentral is "partial 16S ribosomal RNA". It matches the Rfam family "Bacterial small subunit ribosomal RNA", at positions 524 to 776 of the family's 1533-position model. The record is from RNAcentral.